GAUGAACGCUGGCGGCGUGCCUAAUACAUGCAAGUCGAGCGAACAGACGAGGAGCUUGCUCCUCUGACGUUAGCGGCGGACGGGUGAGUAACACGUGGAUAACCUACCUAUAAGACUGGGAUAACUUCGGGAAACCGGAGCUAAUACCGGAUAAUAUAUUGAACCGCAUGGUUCAAUAGUGAAGGACGGUUUUGCUGUCACUUAUAGAUGGAUCCGCGCCGCAUUAGCUAGUUGGUAAGGUAACGGCUUACCAAGGCAACGAUGCGUAGCCGACCUGAGAGGGUGAUCGGCCACACUGGAACUGAGACACGGUCCAGACUCCUACGGGAGGCAGCAGUAGGGAAUCUUCCGCAAAGGGCGAAAGCCUGACGGAGCAACGCCGCGUGAGGGAUGAAGGUCUUCGGAUCGUAAAACUCUGUUAUUAGGGAAGAACAAAUGUGUAAGUAACUAUGCACGUCUUGACGGUACCUAAUCAGAAAGCCACGGCUAACUACGUG
Molecule: ribosomal RNA, 497 nt
Filed under: uncultured bacterium
Lineage: Bacteria
Description: partial 16S ribosomal RNA
Rfam family: Bacterial small subunit ribosomal RNA
Source: RNAcentral